AAAUCAGUUUUCUGAUGGCAGGUGCUAUUAUUUUGGAACUCGAGAACUUUUGGCUUAAGCUAGCCGUGAGUGUCGUCUCAGAUGUCCGGCUGUCACUAAAGAUCUUUUCAGGAAACCUGCUUGCCGGAAAAGAAUCUGUCAACGGCCAAUUGGGACCCCUGCCGCCCAAGAUGCUGCUGGAAUUUGUCUCACCAAUAUUGACAUAGCCUUUCUGAUCUUUGAGGUCGUCUUUCUGAGGCCAAAGGGACAAUGUCUUUUAGCAUUCCAGUUUCUCUGGAUAAGGCUGAUAAGGAUGAGAUCUCAUAAAGAAAAGAGACAACAAAGACGAGGAGAAUUAUCUGGAUGACAACUUGGUAAGAU
Oryzias latipes (Japanese medaka) is the source of this 360-nucleotide long non-coding RNA. RefSeq lists it as uncharacterized. The record is from RefSeq and is a predicted model, not a curated record. NCBI's taxonomy places the organism in Eukaryota, Metazoa, Chordata, Actinopteri, Beloniformes, Adrianichthyidae.